ACUUUUCUUGCAUACAGCUAUGACCUUGCUUUUCUCAUUUUUCUUAUAUUUCACAAAAUCAAAUCCUUCCUGAAUCAAAUAAAGCCUCAGCGCCUUCCUAAAUAUAGUUGUGGAGCAAAACUUUAUCCCAACCGCAAGCUUGACCGUCUUCUUAGUAUUUCAUUGUAAUACUAUUGUAUUACAAAGAUCUUCUCCUUCUUCCCUUGUUUUAACAGCCAAGAUUCCAAUUUAUAAUGAGAGGUACCACUGGAUACCAUACCUCAUUUACAUUUUGGAUGGAGAUCUUGGAUUAGCAAGAGAUACUUAAAGAGUUAUGCUGCUGCUACUGAGUAAUUAUUUCAUAGGAUACAAUUAAGAGUUAUUGCUUAGAACGUUUAUUACCCUAAUGGACCAUUACUGAAAGUUCAUUUCCUAUCAGUAAUCCAGUUUUGAUAAAGAUCUUUCACAACCGGAUUGGAAUUCCUAUUUACUAAUAGUCAAACAAGGCCUGUAUAAAGACUAAUUUGUUGAGACGUACACACCCCUCUCCGCACUAGAUCCUUGUUGGAAUCUUCACCCAGCCAUCCUCAAGCUUGGGUUUGGAUAUUUUGGCAUCAGUUUGCGAAGCAGGUUCACGCCUUCACCUCUAUUUUGACGGUCCCUCGAUCAUGCUCCAUUGAACAAACUUGCCGCACGGCAUCUGAGGUUGGAACUCCAGCAAGCAUAAUUCCCAGCACACCCACCCACUGUUGGCACAUUAGAUAAACAGAUGGCAAGUUGGGCUAGAAUCAUUCAGAGAUGCAAUCAUUGCAGCCUACUUGUUGAACUGUUCAAACUCAGCCACUAAUCAAAUGUCUUUGUUUCCGGCAGCGCACAAAGAAGGGGAGAUUUUCUAUUAUGGAACUUUAAGGCACCUAAGGGAUGGCAGAGGAGCUCAAUUUAGGAGACGUCUGCACCGAGACAUAUCUAUAUGUCAAGUUCCUAUGGGACAUGGAGGACUCUUUAUUUGCAGUGAAUCAAUAAUGGUUAAGAGUCCUAGGCUUCAGAGAAGCAUUAACAAAAAAUUGCUAUUGGAGAUAAAGAAAAUGCAUGCUCUGUUUGAUCCAGUGAUCCCUGCAUGAUGGUUGAAACAACUGAAUUGGCAACUUCACUGCUGCCGUGUUCAUACAUUCCUGGACAGGCAAAAUUUGCAAAUUCCACAUCUCAAGGCUUCACCUGCUCCCUGGGUGCGAGCAUUUUUUGAUAGCUGAUUUUGAAUAGACUUUGACUAAUGACAACCUUAUCAAGCCAAGGUGGUCAGGAGAUAUCCACUUGUGUAAUCUGCCAAGUUGGUGUAUAGAUAACCAUCAGUUGUUCAUCAAAUGCUUGUAUCAGGCCCAUUUGGGAGCAUCAGUCUUUUUGGUUUCAAUGCCAGUUGGCAUCUCUUCCAACAGCAUAGUGUAAAUGGAGGCAGGGCCAUCUGCUGCCCUGAAAUAGGAUUUGCUAUUAGUUACCUUCAGGAGUCCUGGGCUUUGCUGUUAGCCGCCUUCAGUACUUUUAAUCCUCUUGGAUUGAUGCAGCCUCCAACUGAUGCUGCCACAGAUAAGGAUCCUCUCCACCUUGCCUGCAGUAGGCCAUGCCACCCACCAGCCCUCAGCAUCGAGCUCCCUUCAAUUUCCUACCAAAAGUAAGGAACUCUGGUCCUUGCUAGGCUUGUGGGGGGUUUCCAUCUUUAUAGUAAACCCGGGCCCUCUCAGUUUGUUGAUUCAUGUGAGACGAGUCUCUAUCUAUCUAUCUAUCUAUCUAUCUAUCUCGCUCUCACACACACACAUGCACCACACAUGCGCACGGAGUGUAGGAUCAUCCCUAUUAAAUAUAAGAAAAAUGCUUGUUAUUCACCAGAUAAGCACCGAAGACAGCAACACUUGAAACCAAAACCUUCAGCAAGAAUUUUCUGCCGAGCCUCACNNN
RNAcentral lists this long non-coding RNA (1929 nucleotides) under Phoenix dactylifera (date palm). RNAcentral describes it as "long non-coding RNA (PDAC_LNC007370)". Lineage: Eukaryota; Viridiplantae; Streptophyta; Magnoliopsida; Arecales; Arecaceae. The record is from RNAcentral.